UAUGUGAUCGUCUCUCGCAUAUCAAUAAGCGGAGGAAAAGAAACUAACAAGGAUUCCCCUAGUAACGGCGAGUGAAGCGGGAAGAGCUCAAAUUUGAAAUCUUAAAGGGUUUCCCUUUACGAAUUGUAGUUUAAAGAAGUGUUUUCUGUUGAGGUUUUGGUAAAAGUUCUUUGGAAUAGGACAUCAUAGAGGGUGAGAAUCCCGUAUUUGACCUUUACUUUCAACUUUGUGAUACACUUUCAAAGAGUCGGAUUGUUUGGGAAUGCAGUCCAAAAUGGGUGGUAAACUUCAUCUAAAGCUAAAUAUUGGCGAGAGACCGAUAGCGAACAAGUACCGUGAGGGAAAGAUGAAAAGAACUUUGAAAAGAGAGUUAAACAGUACGUGAAAUUGUCAAAAGGGAAGCGUUUGACACCAGUGUUGUUUUUCUGAAAAUCAAUUAAAGAACUGUUUAUGCUAAGUUGUUUAGACUUUAUCAGCUAACUGUUUAGUUUUGAGCUUUUCUUUAAUGCACUUUUCAGUUAACAAGUCAACAUCAAUUUCUUUUGCUGUAAAAAAGCUUGAGGAAGGUGGCUUGAGAUUCGUCUUAAGUGUUUAUAGCCUCUUGCCUAUGCAGUCGGAGAGAUUGAGGUCUGCAGCGUAGAUCCUUCGGGGCUAAAUGCAUUUGUGCUAAGUUAUAGCAUUUUAUAGACAACUUGUUGACUAUGAUUUGUCUUGUAGCUUACUCGCUUAUGUUAUUUUACCUACGCUUAGGAUGUUGAUCUACAGAGCGAGAGU
Molecule: ribosomal RNA, 774 nt
Filed under: uncultured Neocallimastigales
Lineage: Eukaryota; Fungi; Neocallimastigomycota; Neocallimastigomycetes; Neocallimastigales
Description: partial large subunit ribosomal RNA
Rfam family: Eukaryotic large subunit ribosomal RNA
Source: RNAcentral